GGCUGUAUCAAGGCUCCUGAGGGCAUUGAGCCCCUGGUGUACUUGUGUCAAACAGACACAGAAGCUGUGAGGGAAGCUGCCCGGCAGAGCCUCCAGCAGUGUGGUGAGACCGGGAAGUGGGAGACACAAGUUAAGGGGAUUUGGGAUCUUGGCUAUUGGGUGUGGGGUGAGGUAAUGCCAGGGAAGGGAAGGCCCAGAAGAUGCCAGGGCCACUCUUGACCCUUAUCUUUUUGUACAUAACAGGGGAAGAAGGACAGUCUGCUCAUCGCCAGCUAGAGGAGUCCCUGGAUGCCCUGCCCUGCCUCUUUGGGCCCAGCAGCAUGGCCAGCACAGCAUUCUGAACUCUGAUUGCCAGCUCCCAGUGCUCCUUCCCUCAUUUUCAGGGCUCACUAGGCACUGGCAGGGAGGGUGAGGGCUGGUUCCAGUCACCUCUCCCCACAAAUUCCUAUCAAUGAAAAUCUAAUAUAUUCUUCUGUUAUCACUGGGGUUGGUAGAAUGCCUGAAAUGAAGUGCCUCCCAGCCGGUUCUGCAUAGCCACAAACAGUGUCAGGGGCCUGACCGUUUGGUCAGCUUGCUCUGCCUCACCACAUCCCUUGGUUUUGUAUUUUAUUUACAGAGUUUUACAGAUAAUAAAAAAGCAAAAUGUGUUUCCUACGUGGCUUGGUGCACGCCCGAGCCUCUGCUCC
This 686-nucleotide long non-coding RNA is filed under the name Rattus norvegicus (Norway rat). RNAcentral's name for it is "long non-coding RNA NONRATT014210". The record is from RNAcentral. Lineage: Eukaryota; Metazoa; Chordata; Mammalia; Rodentia; Muridae.